GCGUCGGUAACAGAGCGGUCGAUUGCGCCCGACGGUAAACCGGUUUCCGCGGACACGGUGGUUCGAAUCCAUCCCGGCGCA
Molecule: transfer RNA, 81 nt
Filed under: Actinomycetota bacterium
Lineage: Bacteria; Bacillati; Actinomycetota
Description: tRNA-Tyr
Rfam family: tRNA
About the family: Transfer RNA (tRNA) molecules are approximately 80 nucleotides in length.
Source: RNAcentral